RNAcentral lists this ribosomal RNA (484 nucleotides) under uncultured bacterium. Its description in RNAcentral is "partial 16S ribosomal RNA". It matches the Rfam family "Bacterial small subunit ribosomal RNA", at positions 29 to 507 of the family's 1533-position model. The record is from RNAcentral.
AUUGAACGCUGGCGGCAUGCUUUACACAUGCAAGUCGAACGGCAGCGCGGGCUUCGGCCUGGCGGCGAGUGGCGAACGGGUGAGUAAUGCAUCGGAACGUGCCCAGUAGUGGGGGAUAGCCCGGCGAAAGCCGGAUUAAUACCGCAUACGACCUGAGGGGGAAAGCGGGGGACCGAAAGGCCUCGCGCGAUUGGAGGGGCCGAUGUCGGAUUAGCUAGUUGGUGGGGUAAAGGCUUACCAAGGCGACGAUCCGUAGCUGGUCUGAGAGGACGACCAGCCACACUGGAACUGAGACACGGCCCAGACUCCUACGGGAGGCAGCAGUGGGGAAUUUUGGACAAUGGGGGCAACCCUGAUCCAGCCAUGCCGCGUGCGGGAAGAAGGCCUUCGGGUUGUAAACCGCUUUUGUUCGGGAAGAAAUCCUCUGGGCUAAUACCCCGGGGGGAUGACGGUACCGGAAGAAUAAGCACCGGCUAACUACGUG